Molecule: unclassified non-coding RNA, 349 nt
Filed under: soil metagenome
Description: partial contains 5.8S ribosomal RNA, internal transcribed spacer 2, and large subunit ribosomal RNA
Rfam family: 5.8S ribosomal RNA (bases 1-120)
Source: RNAcentral
GAUGAAGAACGUAGCGAAAUGCGAUAACUAGUGUGAAUUGCAGAAUUCCGUGAAUCAUCGAGUCUUUGAACGCACAUUGCGCCCCCUGGUAUUCCGGGGGGCAUGCCUGUCCGAGCGUCAUUGCUGCCCAUCAAGCACGGCUUGUGUGUUGGGUCGUCGUCCCCUCUCCGGGGGGGGCGGGCCCCAAAGGCAGCGGCGGCACCGCGUCCGAUCCUCGAGCGUAUGGGGCUUUGUCACCCGCUCUGUAGGCCCGGCCGGCGCUUGCCGAACGCAAAUCAAUCUUUUUCCAGGUUGACCUCGGAUCAGGUAGGGAUACCCGCUGAACUUAAGCAUAUCAAUAAGCGGAGGA